UGGGGAAUAUUGGGCAAUGGGGGAAACCCUGACCCAGCAACGCCGCGUGAACGAUGACGGCCUUCGGUUGUAAAGUUACUGUUAUACGGGACGAAUGGCGUAGCGGUCAAUACCCGUUACGAGUGGCGGUACCGUAAGAGAAAGCCACGGUUAACUACGUGCCAGCAGCCGCGGUAAUACGUAGGUGGCAAGCGUUGUCCGGAAUUAUUGGGCGUAAAGGGCGCGCAGGCGGCGUCGUAAGUCGGUCUUAAAGUGCGGGGCUUAACCCCGUGAGGGGACCGAAACUGCGAUGCUAGAGUAUCGGAGAGGAAAGCGGAAUUCCUAGUGUAGCGGUGAAAUGCGUAGAUAUUAGGAGGAACACCAGUGGCGAAAGCGGCUUUCUGGACGACAACUG
This 394-nucleotide ribosomal RNA is filed under the name uncultured Megasphaera sp. RNAcentral describes it as "bacterial SSU rRNA". It matches the Rfam family "Bacterial small subunit ribosomal RNA", at positions 355 to 742 of the family's 1533-position model. The record is from RNAcentral. Lineage: Bacteria; Bacillati; Bacillota; Negativicutes; Veillonellales; Veillonellaceae.